AUUUAAGCAGAAUAUUGUAUGAACUGAGAAGCUAUGCCAUUCUGAUUCUGAAUAGAGAAAUAGGAUAAGUGUAUAGCUUACUGGCCUAAAUAGGAUAGCCAUAACCUGCAGGUUAUGAUGGUUUUGCUAUCUUCCCGUACAAAUUCUGUUAUGUUAGACAAAAAGAGUACAUGUGGCUUGCCAAUAACAUGAAACUGAAUAUCGUUGCCACCAUUACGAUUGAUAGCCACCGAAUCAUGUUAAAUUGAAUGUACACAAGACUUGUAUUUAUACAUCAAACUAUAAUUCUCCAGGAGAAUUGGAAGGUGGUGUGGUUUUAUAUAGCAAACAACAGUUCCGUGGAAAAAAAUCAAAUGUGUUUAAGUCUACAACAGAGACAAUCAUAUCUGCAAACAGUAACACAUCUAUAUAGCGCGCGAUGGUUCGUUUGAUAGAACUUUCAGGAUCCCAUGAGCUGUAUUUUGAACUAAAUCAAAUGUGCCCUACAUGAUCAUAAAAUAAACAACAAUGUUUGCAACAUCAAAUUGUUCCCCAAAACAUUACCCUGGGAUAUUAAUUACCAUGUUAAACAUGUGUCCUCACAUAAAAAUUGACGUAUAUAGCUGGAGCAGAGCCGGAUGCACUUACAGAGACAUGCACUUAUAGAGACGGUAAUCUUCAUAUAAUACCCUGAUAUAAGAAAACAAAGACAGUAACUAGUCAUGGCAGGAAAAAGUUAUAUAUAAAUUGCAAUUGUGCAUGUACUUCUCGAGUCGCUUCUCCUACCUCAAUAGAGAAUAGCAUCCAUGGGAGAUCAAGACUCCUUGCUGAGUAGAUCGGGACUGGUGAGGAGGCACUCCGUCCUGUAUCCGAACCAGAGAACCCAUGGAGCUAAGGUGGAGCCUGGUGUGGUCGUCAUUAGAACAGAAUCGAGUCAGCUUUAAGAAAUGAAACUUAGGCAGUUACAUUCUAUGCUAGUGGAUUACAACAAACAGUUUUGAACUUAUCUAAGUCAUGAAAUAAUUCAUGUAUUGCUGACCCACUUAAC
This 1027-nucleotide long non-coding RNA is filed under the name Triticum aestivum (bread wheat). RNAcentral's name for it is "long non-coding RNA (TAES_LNC028511)". Lineage: Eukaryota; Viridiplantae; Streptophyta; Magnoliopsida; Poales; Poaceae. The record is from RNAcentral.